AAUCGACGCCAUAAACGUAAAUAGAACGGCCCGAGGAAAGCUUGAGCUCUGCGUAGGUGGGGGAUGGUGUGCAUGCUCCUGUCGCAAAAACGCUGUGCUGAUGUAUUGGUCGCUUUCUUUUCCCCCGAUAUCACGUGUGCGAGUCUGAGGGCAUCUUUCAUGCCUGGUGGGAAGGGGGAGCGUGGCUGAUGGAGGCCCUCUCUAACACCAUGUGGGGGCUGGCCUGCUUCAAGCGUCUUUCCUGGGGGAAGAGAACGACGACCGCCUUUCACCGGAGCACCGCGGAAGUUGGGGGCUGCUGGGAGACAGCAGAGGCGCCUCGGAGGGCAGGUAGAAGGUGCUUAUGGGCGGCUCCAUGUAGGGUUGAGUGGCCUGGCCUGGGCUCCUGCCUCAGAGGCGGGCUGAAAUGGGCGAAGCUGGGGUGUUGCUGUCGGGGUGCUGCUCUUCUGGGGUAAGAUCUGGGGUGGCUGAACCCACGUGUUCCUGCAACAAGUCCUUGAGGCAGCUCAGUAAGAUGCGACCUGCAUUUCCUUUUUAUUGGAGACACUACGGUAUCUAUGGCCGUUGGGCCGCGGGGUGGACUCCUGUCCAUAGGGUGUCCGACGUGUGCUGGCUCGCUGGUCGCGCGCGCGCUGUGGACGUGUUUGUGUGUAGACUGGUUGUAGCCUGGUGUGAGCUCCAUGCAGCCGACUCGCUUCACAGGUCCGGCUUAGAGCCGCUCUGGUAGCCCAAGAUGAGGGGCUCCGUGACAUGACCCACGGUGAGUGAAUUGAACGCUACUAACGCGUUGUGUUUGCCCUAGUGUUAAAAAGGUCUGUAAAAAGGCUGGUGUUGGCCAUCUGUUCCGAUUAAUUUUUUUGCAAGCGGUGCGGUGCAUAAUGCUCGCAGUUGCUGCAGGCCAUGAAGUGACAAGUAUUCUUUUUGUUUUUCAGGAUUCAUAAAAAAAACAUAGCAAUAUGUGGGAUCAUACCGACUCCUUAAAUCAAAUGGCCUUCCUGAAAAAAAAAAAAGCUGAUUACCCUCAGUAGCAGGCUGAAAAUAAGACUCCUGCAUAGCAACUUGCAGUUGAAAACACUUAUUCAUCUUGCUUGAAUGUAACAGCGAACAGUACUUGAUAGUAUAUGAUGCAGAAGCCGUCAUUUGAGUGCCUAGUUGCUUCAUUCACGUAGACUAGUUUACCCAGGAAGACUACGUUUUCUAUGAUGUAAUGCAAGUGUUCAUCUGGGAAAUGCAUAGUUGGGAGAUGGCUCUAUCAGGGAAAUCAGCGAAAGAAUAUUAAGUGUGUCAGGUGUAAGAUAAAAGAAGUACAAAUAACAUUAAGUUGACUUGAAACUUGAGAUCUACUUUUUGUUUUCACCAAAACCUGAGGCUGCACCAAUAGUUUAUUCUUUUAACAGGUGUUUAAAGAGCUUUGCAGAAACUGUGUUUUUCAUUAAAACUGGAUGGGAAUUUCAGUGAACUGUAUAAGAUUUGCAGACUGGUUUUUAGAAAAAGAUCAAACAGAAAACCUGAAUAUUGUUUAAAAUAUGCAAGUAUUUGCUUUUUUAUAUACUGCUAAGCUCAUAGACAGUAUCGUUGAUUUGUCAUUUAAUAGGUAAUCUUUUUACAUCUAGGCAAAGAACUUUUUCUGCUGUCAGUUGCUUAUAUUAAGAAAAUGGCUAAUGGUUUUUAAUCAAGGAGUUUAAAUUGCAGACUACAUACAGGGACUCAACUGUGUUCUGCAGAGUUCAUUUUCUGUAUAUGCUAUAAGGUAUUUUUUAUUUGGGAUCAUGAGAUCUACCUUCUGAACAGGAAAUGAGUAUAAACUGAUGUUUGUGCUUCUGGGUAUAGACAGUACAAAACAGUUACUCUUGAGGUACCAGUUUUGUAAGUUCACAGAUACCUUGCUGAGAUAUUAACUUGCAUUUUCAUAAUUUUAGGUAUAUACUUUAGAAAGGAUCUGCUGGAUUUAUAACUUAAUUCCUACUAAAUUUUGGAGGUAUUUGGGAGCCUGAAUGCUACAGACAAGAGAUAAGGAUGAAGCACUUUAAUUUACUAAUUAUAUGAUACUGAUUUCAGUAUUUCUGAGAGCAUAUGAAUGGAACAUAUAGCAAGUAAAAAAUCAGAAAUUAAUGAUUGCAUGUGUACAAGAGCAGAGGAAACUUAUAUUUAAUUUUCACCCCAUCACUCUCUGUUAAUAAUUGUUCACAUCCUAAAGUAUUUUUUCUUCUAUGUUAUUCUAGCACUAUUUCUGUUUUAAACAAGUGUCUAGUAAGUCAGUAAAAAUGCUCUUCUAAAUUGGGUAAUGGCUUUUCUUUACCAGGUCUUAACCAGCUGCUGAAAUAAAUAAAAAUAACACACUAAUGCCACUGGAAGAAUUCUUCCUGUCAUAAUAAAGAAGCUUUAUAGUGAAAAUUGAGAUCCACCUUUUUAAUCCAUCUACUACUCAGCAGGAAUGUCUACUUCCCGUUAAGUAUGAAUAUUAAUAGCUACACAGGAUGCUCUUGAAGCAUUUUUAUUUCUGGGCUAGGGGUUACAUGAAGUAGUGGCAUCUUUGAUCUUGAAAUUCUGCCAUAAGUACCAGGUAUGCUUCUCCUUGGGCUCCCUCUGCACUAGUGUAGUUUCAUAAUUAUUUGCAAAUUAUAAACUUUAGUCUCAAAUUCCUUUGUCCCACUAGUAUUGCCCCUUGAGUUCUUUUAACUUUCUGAAAGCCAAUGGGAAGAUAUGUUAAUUCCAGGGAAGACAGUAAAAUGUAUUAAAGCCAUACCUAAACUAUAUUUAAAUUUAUAGUUAGUUUUAUCUUUCAAUGGAUAUUCUUGUGUAAAGACCUUGCUGAGCUGAGCAUUCCUCUUUUUCUGCCUCAUGGUUUUGGGAGGUCUGUAUUCCAGAGCUAUGCAGAGAAGAAGGAACAGCUGCAAAACAGCAACCUUGACUUGGUUAGCUUCCUGCACAUAAUCAAGGCCUGUUCUGUGAGCCUCUUGAAAAAAUACUUGACCACCAUUUGGUGAAAUUGAUUCUUAGUAGUGUUUCAAAACAUUAGGCCACUUGCAUGCAUUUUUGCUCAUUCUAGUAAUACAUACAGGGCUUAAUCAUUCUAUUAGUUAAGGUAAUUUAAAAGGAAGAUCAUAUACAGCUGCACAGUUGUGUUUAUAUUAAACAAACCAUGGUCUAAAUGUAGAAAAAUGGAUUGCAGACAACCUAAUGCUGGCCAACACUGUAGCAGCCUGAAUUGCUGCUAGUAAAGUCCAGGAUAAAGAAGCAAAAAGGGCCUUUGCAUAAUAUCCACAGAUGUUUAAUUUAGCCGUGUGGUGAGAUGUUCAGGUACAAGGCCCACACAUUCAGGGUCCAGCUUUUUCCCUCCCCAGGGGAACCCCAGGGUCCACCUGGUCUCGAGGUAGUACCAAGAUGAGGGCCAAUCAGGGAAUAGGGAGGGAGUGGCUCAGGGACAUAGCAGCAAGGGAAGGAGCCAAUGGGGUUAAACAGCUUUGAGGGAAGCUUCUUGUGUCUCCCUAAUUUAGGGGAUGCCCCCCCAGGGCCUCCGCAACACAAGUCACCCUGGUGGUAACAAUUAUCUGGAAAUAUGAAAACAAGAACAACAACCAACCGUUAAGAGGAGACAUGGCAUUUAAGCUGAACAAGAGUGCAAAUUCAUGUGCUGGAACAGUAGGGAGUUAGAGGUUAAGAAGAAGAAACUCAGGGAGGUAAGAGGGCUCUUAGAGCUUUAAGAAAAUCAUAACAUUAUUUACAGUGUUAGCACUAAAAUAAUCAAAUACAAAAUGACUGAUUUGUCUGCUGAAAUGGGUGAUUUUAAAAUAAUAAAAUGCAUCUUUUUUGUGAGAAACAACUGCUCACUUUGAAAAUUUAAAAAGGUUUAUAAAACCUUGACAAAAAUAAACCAAAAGGACUAUAUAAGGAAAAAUUUGCAGCACU
Long non-coding RNA from Serinus canaria (Common canary), 3909 nucleotides. RefSeq lists it as uncharacterized. The record is from RefSeq and is a predicted model, not a curated record. NCBI's taxonomy places the organism in Eukaryota, Metazoa, Chordata, Aves, Passeriformes, Fringillidae. The transcript is spliced from 2 exons.